ACCAGGCAGUCUCCUUACAUUUUGCUUACUGUGUAAGCAUCACAGAUACCUAGAAGUUGUUUCAAACAUGCCAUAAUGGUUUUCUCCUAUGAAAUGAAAGCUGACUUGGGGGGGGGGGGUGAAAUUACCAAUGCAGCAGCAGCAGAAUCAAUCCGGUGCUUCUCAUUUGCGUGGGGGUCUUACACCUGAGACGGAGCUGGGAUAAUUUGUCUGGAAGGAAAAAGAAGGUUGAUCAGUGGAAUACGCUGGGAUUUAAAUCUAGGUCAUUACUCAGCCCUUAGUCAGAAAACAAAACAAAACGGUAACUUUCAACAGUGCUGCAGUUACCAUAAUGUGUGCUAGAGCUUACAAGUCCUAAAUCCAGGUGUUGCUUAUAUGGUAUUUCUCCAGAAAGCAGGGUAGGAAACUCAAAGCUGAAAUUUUCAGAAGGGUUUGGCUGCCAAAAUCAGUCAAGCUAAGGUGAAUUAUUAAUACAGAAGAAAUUCUAUUAUAUCUAGGUGAUGAAACGGGGGUGAAUUCCAAAGGCGCAGACUUAAUAGCAUUGCACUCAAGGUCAGUGGUUAAUGACUGUAAAUCUGGAGUGGCUUGAUUAGUAAUUUCUUACUUCAAAUACUCAUCAUGCAUAAUGGAAUUGGGGUCUAAUGCCGUCAAUUGUUGGAGAUCUGGAACUAGGGUGAGAUGUUCACAUUUCAGAGAAUUAAAAUUUGCUGACUGAAUCCUCCUUAAAAUAGCUAAAUAAAAAGUUAUUUUAAGAAGCUCCAGCCCCACUCCCCAGUUCCUGUGGCUGCAGUUAUUUUGCUUGACUUCACAUACACACACGCCUUUUUGUGUGUGGUUUAAAAUAUUAAACCUAGAUUAUUCAGUCUGCUUGGACAGAUUUCACUAUGGAGGAUAUCUGCAUAGCCUUCUGAUACAAGAGGCGACACACAUUCUCUUCUAAUCAAUAAAUGUGAUUUAGCUUAGCUGUGUAGUUGCAUGCAUGGCUAGAUCUGUUUUAUAUAAAGGCAACAGUUUUGCUGCCUCCCAAUCCAGUCCUGAUAACAUUAGGGACGCUUUCACAGUGUUUGUGUGCAGAAUUUUCUAUUUCUAGUCACCUAGCUUGUGUGUUUUUUUAAUGUUUCAUUUCCUCAAAUGCAAACUAUAUGUAAGAUGAUAUGUAAGGGCCACUGAUUUAUCCAUUCUGAUAUCUGCCUAAGUCAAAGAAACUGGAAAAUUGAGGAUAGGUUAACAAGAAGGGAGCAAUGUUUUAUUUAUUAUUAAAUUUCUAUCCUGCCUUUCCUCUCAAAGGCGAACAGAGCAGCCAUACACAGUUAAAAACAUUGAACAUUUUAAAACUUUUGAAAAUACAUCUAAGCACAGCAAGUAAGUUCUAAGAUGCCCAAACCCAUCACAUCUGAGCACCAAAUACCUGGAUGAACAGGAAUGUCUUUAGAUUUAGACUGAGACUAUGUACACAUCAUACAUUUAAAUCACAUCUCUCCCAGCCCUGCGGAGCUGUGGUUUAUGCCUCACAGAGAAGAACCCUUAACAAAAUACAGUUUCCAGGAUUCUUGGUAGGGAAUGCUUUAAAUGUAUAGUGUGUAUGUAUGUGGGGAGAAUGCAUGUUGCCAAACGGGGAGUCCCAUAAUUGGGGCAUAACCAUGGAGAAAUAUAGGCAAUUUCUACUCUGCUCUCUAGCCCUUAAAGUGGCUUUCAGAUUAAAAUCACAAUAUAAGAAUAAGAACAAUGAGAUUAAAAAUAAAUGCUUCACUUGAUUACUGAAACACAGGUGAAUUAAAAAAGUCAUCCACCUUGAGAGAGGGGAAUUGAACCUCUUUUAGGAGUAAAUUCUGCAAUCUUGGUGCUGCGACCAAGAAGGACUGCUCUUGUGUCUCUGCCAAGCACGUUUCUGAAUGUAGUGGAACACAGAACAUUACUUCAGAUGCAUUGCCUGGGCAAGUUCACUCUGAAUUGUGCCCAGAAAUAAACUGGAAGCCAGCACAAAUGAAAAAAAGUGAUAUACCAGGAACCACUUGGAUUGCUGCUUUUUGCAGGAUCUGAAGACUCCAAACAAUCUUCAAAUGUAGACCCACAUACAGUAGUCCAAUCUGGAUGUGACCAGAGCAUAAGUGACAAUGAUCAAAUCUGCAAGACUGGGGAAAGGAGCUGAUAAACAUCUCCAGGACAUCCACCAGGACUUCCAGGAGCAAACACAAGGUCCAGGCAUAAGCCAUCCAGCACAAACCAUAGCUCCAAACCUGGUGCCUUGUUACUUAUCUUUAGAUUCCAGGCAAAAACAUUCCACUUCUCCCAGGCCUUUGGCUAAUUAAACAAUCUAUGGGCUUUUAAACGGGGUGUGUGUGUGUGGUGGGUGUUCUUUUGGUUUGUUGCCUUGCUAUGUGGUUAUGUAUGUUUAUAUUAUAAAUCACCCUGUGAUCCUCAGAUGAAGGGCGGUAUAGAAAUUUAAUAAAUAAAAUUAAAAUAAUAAUUGUAUUUUUUUGUGAAGAAUUGCAUUGACCACCACUUCUGAAGAGUAAAACAGUGCUUAAGAGAGGGUCUCUCCAUUUACUGAAAUUCAUUGCUGGACUCUAACACAAAGAUGGGAAAAUAUAAACUCCAGCAUAGAUUAGUACUUUGACAAAACCUGCCCUCUAGUUUCUUGGAACUUUUCUUGCUCCACAAAAGAGACUUAUUCUGCUUCAUUCCUGGCACUUCUAAAUCUAUUCCAAAUUUCAGUGCGUGCAGGAUUUUGAGUUUCACAUAUUAGUUUAUGCUACGUGUGCAUAUUGUUGGCUACAUUCAAGUAAGAAUUUCCAAAACAACCACCAUUCAUUCAUACUAAUAAACUGAAAUGAGAUGCUAAAAUGUUUCUAUUUUACUUUAUAUGGAAAGUGUUGGGUGAUUUUCCCUCUCCCUCCCCAUUCCCUGCAAGCUAAAGUAGUUCAAGAUCCUGUUUGCAGUUUUUAAAUCACUGAAGUCAAUAAACUUUUGCCUGCUGUUCACAAUAAAUAGGCUUGCCCAUACACUGAGUUCUGUAAUGAAUCAUUGCUUACAGUACUAAAUGGUUCUGUCAAAGAAGUAUGCCCAUCAUUGCUGAUACUGUAAGGAAUCUUGAGCAACAAAAGCUUGUGCUGUGCAGCUAAUGGAAAUUAUUCAUAAGUGUCCCCUGUUGAUCAGAUGUUUGGAAGUGUAGGACUUCUUGUUUAGUCUCUCUGCCACUGUGAAAUCCAGAUGGCUAUACUCUCUGCAGCAUCGCUUUAGCUAUGAAGUUGCAGCUGUCCAUGAAUGUGUAGCAAUAUAAAUGUUUUAGUGAUGAGCUGAUUGCUGUGAAUUCACUCUUGGUAACUCCAAAUGUCCUAAAACUCUGUCAGAAUGCAUUUUAUUUUGGAGAAUAAAUAUGUUGCUGCACUAUUUGCUGGCUGGUAAUAGUGCCCUUAGAAUUUGUGAUUGUUGCCAGUCUCCCAAGAUGGGGAGAAAUGGAAAGGAAAGCAAAACACAGUAGUAAGUGGACAGCACAAGCAAGGGUAUAAAAGAAGUUGUCAUCGGUAGGAGAUCCGGGGUGUGUGUGUCUGUGUGCAUUACAUACAGUGGUACCUUGGUUUUCAAACUUAAUUCGUUCCGGGAGUCCAUUCGACUCCCGAAACUGUUUGAAAACCAAGGUGCGGCUUUCAAUUGGCUGUUGAAGCUUCCUGCACUCAAGUGGAAGCCACGUUGGACGUUCGGCUUCUGAAAAACAUUCACAAACCGGAACACUUACUUCUGGGUUUGCAGCGUUUGGGAGUCGAUUUGUUAGGGAGCCAAGCAGUGGCGAAGCUGUAUGCUCCGCUACUGGGGGCGGAGAGCAGGUGGAGGCGUAGCGUGCACCCCGGGGGCGUGUGGCACCUGGCGCUUGGGGGGGCACGGCGCAUGUCCAGGGAGGGGGCGCCGCAAUGGCAUCCUACUGGAAUAGUGGUGCUGGGGGCGGUCUGCUCCCUCUGCACUCCUGUUCCUCCGCCAGUGGAGGUACCACUAUAUUUGUUCGGGUCAAAUAAUGACAAAGGGCACUCUAAGAUCUUUGCUCAACUCAGGAGAAAAGGCAUUUGCAGAGAUUCAAGCAAAUGCUUAGUUUUAUAAGGCUGCACUGCUGAGGGAGCAUCAAAAGAGAACAGUCAUAACUAUCA
Podarcis lilfordi (Lilford's wall lizard) is the source of this 4139-nucleotide non-coding RNA. The record is from the annotation of a GenBank genome assembly. Lineage: Eukaryota; Metazoa; Chordata; Lepidosauria; Squamata; Lacertidae.